AUACAGGGAGGGCAAGCGUUAUUCAGAAUUAAUGGGCGUAAAGGGUGCGUAGGCGGUAACUUAGAUUAAAUAUAAAAUCCCAAAGCUUAACUUUGGAACUGUAUUUAAUAUCUAUUUACUAGAGUAAGGUAGGGGGUAGUAGAAUUCCUAAAGUAAAGGUAAAAUUUUUCGAUCUUGGGAGGAAUACCAUAAGCGUAGGCGACUAUCUGGACCUAAACUGACGCUGAGGCACGAAAGCAUGGGUAGCAAACAGGAUUAGAAACCCUAGUAGUCC
Molecule: ribosomal RNA, 274 nt
Filed under: uncultured bacterium
Lineage: Bacteria
Description: partial 16S ribosomal RNA
Rfam family: Bacterial small subunit ribosomal RNA
Source: RNAcentral